Long non-coding RNA from Sebastes umbrosus (honeycomb rockfish), 1689 nucleotides. RefSeq lists it as uncharacterized. The record is from RefSeq and is a predicted model, not a curated record. The transcript has 2 exons. NCBI's taxonomy places the organism in Eukaryota, Metazoa, Chordata, Actinopteri, Perciformes, Sebastidae.
CUAGGUUUGGGAUAGAUCGACUUAGUUAGGUUUAGGAAAAGAUUGACUUAGCUAGGUUUAGGAUAGAUUGACUUAGCUAGGUUUAAGAAAAGAUCGACUUAGUAAGGUUUAGGUAAAGAUCGACUGGAUUAGGUUUUGGUUAAGAUCGAUUUGCUUAGGUUUAGGUAAAGAUCGACUGGAUUAGGUUUUUGGUUAAGAUCGACAUGCUUAGGUUUAGGUAAAGAUCGACUGGGUUAGAUUUUGGUUAAGAUCAAUUUGCUUAGGUUUAGGUAAAGAACGACUUAGUUAGGUUUAUGUAAAGAUCAAUUUGGUUAGGUUUAGGAAAAGAUCGACUUGGUUAGUUUAUUUGGGUUAGGGUUAGGGGUUAACCCUGGUAACCCAGAUUGCCGUUUGGGAUAAAAUAACUCUGGAAGUAAUUUAAGUAUUGAAGUUACGUGUAAAAAAAAUCAACGUUGACUUCUGGUUUCACACGGGGUAUGAACACCGGUCUCUUGGGAGAAAGUCUGAUGUUUUUUGACCCACCCCUCCACCCCGACCUCCUCCCUAUGCGCGACAGUCGCUCUUUAUUCUUCCUAGUUCACGAUUACGUGGAUUAUAUACGAAUUGAUUUUGUGGGAUAUAUACGAGUUACAGCGCAUUAGUUUUUGUAGGUAUAGCUAUGAACGUUGUAUGGGAACAGCCUGAUUUAGGUCACUGAAACAAGUGUUCCAGGAUGUUUCAAAUGGGGAAUUGAUCAGUCAAAACAGCACAGAUACAGUAUGUAGCUAUUCAUAGAGAUUGCAUUACUGUAUUGUUUUCAUCUCUCCACUUAUCUAGCACUUUAUCAUCCCAACACUGCAUGGCGUCAAUACUGAAUGGUGCCACACAGUAUACAGAGUGUGUCAGAGAGUGCACCAACUUUGUAUUCACUGUUUCUAUGGGUAUACAUCUGAGAGAGAGCAAGAACAAGAAGGAUGAAUAUAAAUGCAUUGAUGUGUCUCAGAGUACAAACUGUACAGGUGUUUGAAAUAAUGAUAGGACCAUGACAGCCAGGAGACAUGUGUGUAUAGGCUUGUGUGUGUGUGUGUUGUAUUUGUGCAGAUGCAUACAGUAUGUGCACAUAUAAGGAAGAUAAAGAGGAGGAGAGGCUGUGAGUGGCAGCUGAAUGGAUGGAGCACAAAUCCUCUGAAUAAUACAUGAGACUUCUGCCAAUUCCAUCUAUUUAUCUUUAAAUUGUGCGCCACGUACAAAUUCAUUUUCAGCCGAUUGGAGAAGAGAGAUGUGUACUUUAGACUGAAGGGAACAUUUUCUCAGUGUUUAUUUUCUGCAGCUGAAAUCUUUGACAAUUGUUCUGGCAAUAAAAGACAACUUUAUAUUAAAUUCAUCUGAAAGAUUUUCACCAAGAGGUAGUGGGCAAACAAAAAAAAAAGUGUCCAUCUGUUUGUUUAAUGUCUUUUUUGGCUCUGCCUUAAAGCAUAUUCACAGCUCAGCGGUCUCCUCUCCAAGGUACCCUGAACCAACAACCUCCAGAAAACCCUAACUAGUCUACGAGCGACACCAACGGAGGACGGGACCUAAAAGAGAAAGAGAGGGUGGUGUGCAGAGGGUGGCAGUGAGGUGAGUUAUGGGGCUACACAGAGAAAUGUGGAAGGUGAAAAGGUGACGAGUGAAGGCGGACAGACAAGACAAAUAUUUGAUCAUCUCUUUAAG